CGCUCCGGGGCCCUCUCCCCAGGGCCAGCAGCCUUCGGCGACCCCCGCCGCCCCCUCCGCAGUGCUGGUCCGGCCCACCCCUCUGCCUUCACGCCUCGCCCCCACCCCAGCCCUUGGGGUCUGGGGCAGUCGCCCCCCGGGAGGUAGUGGGGACCACUUCACUUCUGAGAGCGUCUUACCUCCCUCCCAAGAAGCCAGAAGGAGGAGAAGGCAGCAUCGGAGGCCAAAGGUGGAGCGGAGGCAGUGGGCUGGCUGGGCCAUGUUGGACAUGGAAGGCUGCCUGCGACCCACGGACUGGGGUCCACUCAUCUUAUACAUGUCUAAGUCUGACGUCAUGGGGGCUGGGGCCCCCUGGAGACUAAAUCUUGAACAAAUGGAGCUGCCCCACCCCACAGGGGUGCCCUGAUAACGGGAAACCGCAGCUGCUGUGCCAGAGCACCAGCCCAAACUCCCUCCAGAAGACCCAGGCACCUGCAAACCCCUUCCUGGGGCAGAAGCUCAAGUUGAUCCCUUAAAGUAGG
Molecule: long non-coding RNA, 521 nt
Organism: Choloepus didactylus (southern two-toed sloth)
Lineage: Eukaryota; Metazoa; Chordata; Mammalia; Pilosa; Megalonychidae
Exons: 3
Source: RefSeq, a predicted model, not a curated record